GGCGCUAUAACCAAGUGGUUAAGGCGACAGAUUAGGAUAUAGGUACCCGUAGCCGCGGUUGUCAAGUGCUGAAAGCCCAGCUGCUGGACGGCGCCAAUGACAAGUCCGAUCGACUUGCAGCUGCCAAAAUUAUCUGUUACUCUCUGAGUGCGCAGGUUUAAAUCCUGCUGGUGUCG
RNAcentral lists this transfer RNA (176 nucleotides) under Armillaria gallica. It matches the Rfam family "tRNA". Rfam says of the family: Transfer RNA (tRNA) molecules are approximately 80 nucleotides in length. Their secondary structure includes four short double-helical elements and three loops (D, anti-codon, and T loops). Lineage: Eukaryota; Fungi; Basidiomycota; Agaricomycetes; Agaricales; Physalacriaceae. The record is from Rfam by way of RNAcentral.